UACGUAGGGGGCGAGCGUUGUCCGGAGUUACUGGGCGUAAAGGGCGCGCAGGCGGUCUGGUAAGUUUGGAGUGACAGUGCUCGGCUUAACUGAGCAAGGCCUUCGAAAACUGCUAGACUUGAGCACUCAAGAGGGACAUAGAAUUCCGGGUGGAGUGGUGAAAUGCGUGAGAUAUCCGGAGGAAUACCAAAGGCGAAGGCAGUGUCCUGGGGAGUGUCUGACGCUCAGGGCGCGAAAAGCCAGG
Molecule: ribosomal RNA, 244 nt
Filed under: uncultured bacterium
Lineage: Bacteria
Description: partial 16S ribosomal RNA
Rfam family: Bacterial small subunit ribosomal RNA
Source: RNAcentral